Molecule: long non-coding RNA, 4483 nt
Organism: Apus apus (common swift)
Lineage: Eukaryota; Metazoa; Chordata; Aves; Apodiformes; Apodidae
Exons: 2
Source: RefSeq, a predicted model, not a curated record
GCCAGCAGCAGCCAGUGUCGGGGGGCACCUGGCAGCCUCCCCCGGCUUCGGCCCUGGUGGUCCGAGGGGCGGGUAGAGCCCUUCCCCUCGAGUAGGGCCCUUCACUUGUCCUUCUGGGCAGCGGAGGAGGGGCUCGGGCCGGCGCUGCUAAGCGCCCGCGGCGCGGAGGCGGGCGGGGGCGGGUGCCCCGUCCGCCCGGGUGGGCAGGACCGGUCCCCCGGGGCUGGGAAGGGCACGUUUCCCCAGAGCCGGUGCUCCUCCGUAGAGAGCGAAAUCAGUGAGGCGGAGGGGGAACAGGGUGGCAACCGAGUGUUACUAGGAUGUAACAUUCCUAAAGCAAUUCCCACAGCAUCUCCUGAGCUGCGAACAGUCCUGAAAAGUCCUGGAGCUGCUGGAGAAAGCACAGAGUGAUGAGGGUCAGGAGAGUUCGAGCCUGGGGGUCGAUGGUGAUGGAUGGAUGGAGUCCUCCCUGGAAGCCGGCCAUGGAUGGAAGAGAAGGGAAGGAGAAGCAGGAAGGAAGUUGUCUUCUGUGAUCUCUGACCUUCCUCUGAGCUUACGUAGAUAUAUGGAAUGGAAUAUCUCUGGCCAGUUUUGCUGUCUGUCUAACUCAGCCUCCUACGGAGGGGUCAUAGAUCUCCCCAUAGUGUCUGAGCCAGCAGAGUGAAAGUGUGACCUUGGAGUCUCGGCAAUAACAUAAACAUUUCAGUGUUAUCAGUCCUAGCUGGAACACUUACUGCUAGUUAAAAGAAAGCUUACUGAAGGAAAACAAAAAAUCAGUAAAAGGGAAUUUAGCUUUGUUCUGGCUCAGACUAAGACACUCAUAGAAUCAAUAGAAUGGUUGAGAGUGGAAGGGACCUCUGGAUUUCACCUGUUCCAACCUUCCUGCUCCUGCAGGGCCACCUACAGCUGGUUGCCCAUGACCAUAUCUAGACAGCUUUUGAGUGCCUCCAAGGAUGGAAGCUCCACAGCCUCUCUGGGCAACGUGUGCCAGUGCUUGGUCACUCUCACAGUAAAACAGCUUUUCCUGAUGUUCAGAUGGAGUCUGGUGUAUUCAGUUUGUGCCCAUUGCCUCUGGUCCUGUCACUGGGUAGCAGUGGAGAGAACCUGCCUCUGUCCUCUUUGCACCUUCCCUCCAGGUAUCUGGAUCAAUAAUCCUUCUACAAAUAUUUUCAAGUUUACAGAGUGAUGUUUGUUGACUUCAGCUGAUUUCCGUAUACAUUGAUAUGAUAAAAUGUAAUAGUAGAUUACUGGAACAUCUUAGGUGCAGUACUGAGAUACAGGUUGAAAUUAACUGCUUUUCCAUAUAAUCACUAAUGAGUUAUAGAAAUACACUUGAACCUCUGUUAAACUGCAUGUGAUAAAAACUGACAUUUUCAUAUUCUGUUGUGAAAUUUGUAUUUUAACAUCUAGGCAAGCAUGUAGUAUUGAAAUGUUUAAGAAAAGUCUGUCUCUAGAAAAUUUAAUUUGAAAUAGCAAAAGACAAGAUCGCGCUAAGCAACAUUUAAAUACAAUUAUUAUUUUUUUUUUAUUAAAUCAGUCAAUUCAAACUGAUUUACCUAUCCUAUUACUGAAAUCACAUUUGUAGCAUUGCUGGCACACAAAUAGUUUCUCAGCAGUUCAGAGGAAAACCUAUUUCAUCAGACUGUUCCUAAAAUGAAGGGAGAAAGACGUAAUCAUCUAAGAAAAUGGACCUGCAUGGAGUAUGAAUAGUUCCAAUGAAUAGACUUCAGCUGUGUGUUUGUCACAACACCUCUGAAUAAGAGGUCCAUGGUACUGUCAGAAACAGAUCUGAUGUAAUUACUCUGGAUGUUCCCGGAAUAUGUUAAUCGUUGCAAAAAUAUUAGCAGCAGUGCUCUUGUUUUAAGUGUAAGAAGAGUUGGAAAAUUCAUAGAGAAAUGUCAUGUGCAUCUUCAGGAGUUAGGAAAGGAAGUAUAUUAUGGAAAUGAAAAGAUCUGGGUGAUGCUAAAUAUCCUGUACUAAAAAGGCAUCUCAAAAAUCAUAUCUUAUUUUGCCCCACCUUACUAAUUAAGACAACAGCUGUUAUUUCAAAAUAAUAGGUUUUGUUGUUUACUCUGUCACACCCAUUUUAACAGUAUAAUUUAAUUGAUGGAAGCAUUACAUCAGCAUAAAAUUAGUGUAAUAAAAGCCCCAGCAUACCUCAUGAGCAGCUGGCUACUAUUGUUGCAUUAGACUGAAAAACAGCUGAAAAACAGCUCUUUUUAUUAUUUUUUUUGAAGACAGUGUGUAAAUCUAAAGCAGCAGGUAAUUUCUGUCAGAAGGAGCCUAAGACAUUAAGUGUACUGAGAUGAUAGACAUAGAAUCUGAAGAGUCAUCAAUAUAAUGUCAGCAACUAAGAUUAAAAUGCCAUUUGGGAUGGACAUAUGGGAGAAAGAAUUAAUGAAAGGCAAGGGUGGGAGGGAAUGGGAAGAAAAACACAAGAAGGUGGGCACAAAAACCAGGUCAAAAAAAAGGUAUUGAGGAGUUUUGUGAAGAUUGGCAAUGAUGUCUUCUUCCCAAAUCUGUAUAUUAAAUACACCUUUCUCCUCUCAGAGUUGGAGUAGGUUUUGUGCAAGUACCUAUUUUCCUGCACUAUAUAGGGUAAUGUGAGCAUCUUUCGCUGUCCACUCCUGUUUUACCCUCUCUUUAUUCCACUCCCCAAAUGUCACAUACUCUGUGGAUGGCAGUACACAUACAGUAUUGGUCAUCAUUGCUUUCUAUAAAAAAGCAGCAAUGUAAUUCUCCCAUGAACUCAGGUGUGAGGAAAGGGUCAACAUUUUCCUUUUCAUUAAUUCCUACACUGUAAGUGACUUACGUGGCAUCAGAUGUUUGGGUUGCACUUAUUUCUCAGCUGUCUUCUCUAAUCAUGGACAUACACAGUGAGGGAAGAAAAGAUUUUUAAAACAGGCACAGAUACAAGCAGAUUCACACAACUAUUGAGAGUUAAGUCCAGGUUUAAAUGCAUUCCCUGGACCAGGUAAAGGGAGUGUGCUCAUCUUUCACUUCCUGGAAUGCUCUUGAUAUUUUCAGAAUUUUACUCUGAGACAAGCUACUGCUUUCAUUGCUAAUCCAUGUGCCUGAAGCUGUAUCUGAAUCAAAGUUGUACUUGGUCUUUUUUCCUAUAGUUAGGAGAAAACAGGGCUAAUGUCACCCCUAUCUAUAAGAAGGAUUAAAAGGAGGACCCAGCUGAUUAUAGACCUAUCAGCCUCACUUCAGUCCCUGGGAAAGUCAUGGAGCAAAUCCUCCUGGGGACUGUCAUAAAUCAAUUGAAGCACCUGAUUGGGAAAAGCCAACAUGGAUUUACCAGGCAGAUUGUGCUUGACGAACCUGAUCAUCUUCUAUGACAAAGUCACCUGCUCUGUUGAUGCAGGGCUAGCACUGGACAUCAUCUACCUGGACUUUUCCAAGGCUUUUGAUACUAUCUUCCAUGGCCUCCUCCUGGAUAAACAGACUCGUUACAGCCUUGACGAGUGGUCUAUGUGGUGUGUGGGGAACUGGCUGACAGACCGUACUCAGAGGGUGAUGGUAAAUAGUUCCUCCUCAAACUGGCAACCUGUCAAAGUGGGGUCCCCCAGGGACUGAUCCUAGGCCCAGUGCUAUUUAGUAUCUUCACAAGUGACCUGGAUGUUGGGAUCAAGAGCACCCUGAUGAAGUUCACUGCUGACACCAGGAUAUGGGGUGAGUCUGAAACUCCGAACAAGGACAUCACCAGCAGAGAUAAAGAAAUCAUCAUCCUGCUCUACUGGGCAUUUGUCAGACCACAUCUGGAGUACUGUGUUCAGUUUUGAUGCCCCACUGCAGAAAGGGAAAUACUAGAUUCCCCCACACUGGACAGUUGUUAGUCUCAGCUUGACAAGGUGCUGAGCCAUGUCAUAUCAACUAUCGUAGUACCUAGAAAGGUUGAACCAGAUGAUCUUUGAGGUGCCUUCUAGCUUGGCAUUCUGUGAUUCUAUGAUUCUAUGUUUAUACACAAAAAAACCCCAGCAACAAGUGCCAACAAAGUCUGGAGCUCUUAUCUUGAAUCAAUUUGGUGUUUCAUAGACAAAAUUUUGCCUAAAAUCAAAAUUGACAUAUUUAAACACUGCAGAUUUCUUGGUAGAAGUAACUUCUUACUCUACAUUUUCUACCAUGUCCCCCUUCAACAACACAGCUAACACAGAGGAGUGUGCAUCAACCUUCUAAGUUGCAAAGUAGGCUAUACAUUUCCUUUUGUGAAUCGAUGCAUUAGUGUUCUUUCCUUUCAACUCAGGGAUAAUCUUUUGCUCACAGUGACCUCUAGUGUGAAUGAAUGAAAUAAUUUUGUGUCGUCCAAGGUAAUGCCUGGAGAGUAUUGUAUGCAUCCAUACAGAUACCUGGGUAAGGGACAAGGGUACCAUCUGUUUGACUAUGUGACAGGCUGCUUUAUGGAUGCAAAACACAAACAGGAAACCAUAAACAAAAAAAACAUUCCUUCAGCCAUUUUGAGGGAAUAAAUAAUUAAAAAACC